This 253-nucleotide ribosomal RNA is filed under the name uncultured bacterium. Its description in RNAcentral is "partial 16S ribosomal RNA". It matches the Rfam family "Bacterial small subunit ribosomal RNA", at positions 524 to 776 of the family's 1533-position model. The record is from RNAcentral.
UACGGAGGAUUCGAGCGUUAUCCGGAUUUAUUGGGUUUAAAGGGUCCGUAGGCGGGCUUGUAAGUCAGUGGUGAAAUCCCGGAGCUCAACUCCGGAACUGCCAUUGAUACUGCAGGUCUUGAAUUUAGUUGAGGUGGGCGGAAUACGUUAUGUAGCGGUGAAAUGCAUAGAUAUAACGUAGAACACCGAUUGCGAAGGCAGCUCACUAAGCUACUAUUGACGCUGAUGGACGAAAGCGUGGGGAGCGAACAGG